This 1094-nucleotide ribosomal RNA is filed under the name Streptomyces sp. OAct730. RNAcentral's name for it is "bacterial SSU rRNA". It matches the Rfam family "Bacterial small subunit ribosomal RNA", at positions 381 to 1482 of the family's 1533-position model. Lineage: Bacteria; Bacillati; Actinomycetota; Actinomycetes; Kitasatosporales; Streptomycetaceae. The record is from RNAcentral.
GCCUGACGCAGCGACGCGCGUGGGGGAUGACCGCUCGGUGUAAACUCUUUACAACCAACGCAGCUCGAGUCUCUCGGGUGACGUAGUGGGGAAUAAGGACUGGCUAACUACGUGCCAGCAGCCGCGGUAAUACGUAGGGUCCGAGCGUGUCUGGAAUUAUUGGGCGUAAAGAGCUCGUAGGCGGCGUGUCGCGUCUGCUGUGAAAGACCGGGGCUUAACUCCCGGUUCUGCAGUGGAUACGGGCAUGCUAGAGGUAGGUAGGGGAGACUGGAAUUCCUGGUGUAGCGGUGAAAUGCGCAGAUAUCAGGAGGAACACCGGUGGCGAAGGCGGGUCUCUGGGCCUUACCUGACGCUGAGGAGCGAAAGCAUGGGGAGCGAACAGGAUUAGAUACCCUGGUAGUCCAUGCCGUAAACGUUGGGCGCUAGGUGUGGGGACUUUCCACGGUUUCCGCGCCGUAGCUAACGCAUUAAGCGCCCCGCCUGGGGAGCACGGCCGCAAGGCUAAAACUCAAAGGAAUUGACGGGGGCCCGCACAAGCGGCGGAGCAUGUUGCUUAAUUCGACGCAACGCGAAGAACCUUACCAAGGUUUGACAUCACCCGUGGACUCGCAGAGAUGUGAGGUCAUUUAGUUGGCGGGUGACAGGUGGUGCAUGGCUGUCGUCAGCUCGUGUCGUGAGAUGUUGGGUUAAGUCCCGCAACGAGCGCAACCCUUGUUCCAUGUUGCCAGCACGUAAUGGUGGGGACUCAUGGGAGACUGCCGGGGUCAACUCGGAGGAAGGUGGGGAUGACGUCAAGUCAUCAUGCCCCUUAUGUCUUGGGCUGCAAACAUGCUACAAUGGCCGGUACAAUGGGCGUGCGAUACCGUAAGGUGGAGCGAAUCCCUAAAAGCCGGUCUCAGUUCGGAUUGGGGUCUGCAACUCGACCCCAUGAAGGUGGAGUCGCUAGUAAUCGCGGAUCAGCAACGCCGCGGUGAAUACGUUCCCGGGCCUUGUACACACCGCCCGUCACGUCAUGAAAGUCGGCAACACCCGAAACUUGCGGCCUAACCCCUUGUGGGAGGGAGUGAGUGAAGGUGGGGCUGGCGAUUGGGACG